Molecule: long non-coding RNA, 1610 nt
Organism: Passer domesticus (house sparrow)
Lineage: Eukaryota; Metazoa; Chordata; Aves; Passeriformes; Passeridae
Exons: 3
Source: RefSeq, a predicted model, not a curated record
UCAUUGUGACCCAGCUGCACGACCUGGUACUUCACACUGCUGCCAACAACGUGGCAGCAACAACAACGGGUUUAUCCCAUUCAUACAGGGAAAAGGCCCUCUGCAGUUCUUUCAUUGAGCAUAGGCACAAAUCUGUAAUCUUUGAUGUAAAGAUCAUUAAGUAGUAAUCCCCCCUUUCAGUAUAGGUGAAGCCCAUUUUUACCAUGCCUUUAUCCACCUUAGACACAUCAGAAGACUUGUCAUUUUUGUCACUGACUACUUAUGUCAGUGCACUAAUUUUGCUAUAUAAGUGUUUAAAAUAAUAAUUAGAACAGAAUGAAUAAUGAAUAAGCUGAAUAAUUUAUUCAAAUAUAUUGCAAAACUUGAACAACUUAGUUGAUGAAUAUAUUUAAUAACUCACUCUGCCCCUAUCUUUGUGAAUAAUAUUUCUAAACUAGAUGAGUAAUUUGUUUUUAAAAAUUUGUAACAUUUGUUAUAUAAAUCAUCCACUUAAUAUUGUUCAACCAACUCUAAAUAAUAGUUCAUUACCAGCAAGUGCAUUCUUAAAUGGUCACUGGAGGCCCAAAUAAUCAUGUCUGAGCAUUCUGGGAAGACUUUUUGCUUAUAUAUGAUCUUUCUAAAUUAGGAACUCAUUUUUACUUUUUAGUAGACAAAAAGAAGACCAAGCAGUAGCAGAAGGGAAUAAGGAUGUCCCUCUUUUUCCUGAAGCCAUAGCAACAUGCCCAGCUUCAGAUGGGAUGAAAGCUACCACACAUGAAGUAGUACAGGAGGACAGAAGUGAAAUUAUGCCCAAAUUCCUGCUCCCUCAUCCCCAGUUGUCACAUUCAUAUUUUCUGAAAAAUUCCUUCGCCCAGGAUUUUUCUCCUGGGAAGCUGAGAAGCCUCAGAGGAAAAGGAAAACAAUUCCAUUCAAUUUGCUUCUCCUGUGUUUUGCGGCUUUGGAAUGUGUUUGGAGCUUGUUUACCAACAGCUCAGCUUGGCUGGACUUCCAGGAAUGCAGCCUGUGAACUGAACCAGUGCAACUUCACAGCUCCUUCUACAAUGUAACUUUGAUGUUAUUUCACCUCACAAGGCAAAAUAGAGACUUUGCAUUAUUGGCUGUUCAGGAUUCCAGUGGUGCUGCCACCAAAAGGUUAACCAAAGCAGAGGAAAAACAACUAAUCCAUAUUUGGUAUUAUGCCAUCAAUACCUUCCCAGAAAGAGGCAGCAUGUUCUCCUUGAGGGAUAUAAUACAGGUUUUUAGGGGGAAUCACAGUAUAAGAUAUCCAGAGGGAUUUUCCAUCAGUUUGACAGUUCUUCACUGAAACCUCCUCUUCCUUGGUCCUUGGAAGUUUUGCAUUGAAAAGUGGUAGAAUCAUAGAAUCAUCAAGAUUGGAAGAGACCUUCAAGUUCAUCUAGUUCAACCACAAACCCAGCACAACCAUAAUCACCUCUAAACCAUACCCUCAAGUGCCACAUCCAAAUACUCCAGAUCCUUCUGCAGCCUCAUUGCCCUUCUCUGGACACUCCUCAGCACCUCCUUGUUGUGAGAGGCCCAAAACUGAUUCAAGGUGCAGCCUCACCAGUGCUGAGUACAGGGGGAUAAUCACUGCCCUGUGCCUGCUGGCCACA